Molecule: long non-coding RNA, 280 nt
Organism: Rhinichthys klamathensis goyatoka
Lineage: Eukaryota; Metazoa; Chordata; Actinopteri; Cypriniformes; Leuciscidae
Exons: 2
Source: RefSeq, a predicted model, not a curated record
AACAGAAAACAAUAUUUUACCUCAAGUUCUCUUUGGAGGAUUGACAGCCCAUACUGUCCUCUUCGAGCUAUCCAGGAAUGUGUCCAUUGUCGGGUUUUCUUUCUUUUUUUACUUUUUUCUGAACACAGGACAUCCAAUACAACACUCACCGCUUCAUCCAUUGUUUACGGCACGCGAUGACUGGUCAGGAAGCAACGUGUAGUCUGACAUGUUUCUUGUCCACGACACGACAAGAUUUUAGGAGUCAAAAUCGCGUAAUCUGACACAGUGACUAUCGUAA